RNAcentral lists this ribosomal RNA (400 nucleotides) under uncultured bacterium. RNAcentral describes it as "bacterial SSU rRNA". It matches the Rfam family "Bacterial small subunit ribosomal RNA", at positions 355 to 769 of the family's 1533-position model. The record is from RNAcentral.
UCGAGAAUCUUCCGCAAUGGACGAAAGUCUGACGGAGCGACGCCGCGUGAUUGAUGAAGCCCUUCGGGGUGUAAAGAUCUUUUAUUAAGGAGGAAGUUAUUGACGUUACUUAAUGAAUAAGAGGCUACUAACUCUGUGCCAGCAGUAGCGGUAAUACAGAGGCCUCAAGCAUUAUCCGGAAUUAUUGGGCGUAAAGGGUGUGUAGGCGGUCUUGUUAGUCUUCUGUCAAAGAUCCCGGCUUAACCGGGAGAAGGCAGGGGAAACGGCAAGACUAGAGUGUGCGAGAGGUGAACAGAACUCAUAGUGUAGGAGUGAAAUCCGUUGAUAUUAUGGGGAAUACCAAAUGCGAAGGCAGUUCACUGGCGCACCACUGACGCUGAAACACGAAAGCGUGGGUAGC